RNAcentral lists this ribosomal RNA (193 nucleotides) under uncultured bacterium. RNAcentral describes it as "partial 16S ribosomal RNA". It matches the Rfam family "Bacterial small subunit ribosomal RNA", at positions 1307 to 1500 of the family's 1533-position model. The record is from RNAcentral.
GCAACUCGCCUGCAUGAAGUCGGAAUUGCUAGUAAUCGCAGAUCAGCAUGCUGUGGUGAAUACGUUCCCGGGCCUUGUACACACCGCCGUCACACCAUGGGAGUCGGUAACACCCAAAGUUGGUAGUCUAACCGCAAGGAGGACGCCGCCUAAGGUGGGAUUGAUGACUGGGGUGAAGUCGUAACAAGGUACC